This 534-nucleotide long non-coding RNA is filed under the name Volvox carteri. Its description in RNAcentral is "long non-coding RNA (VCAR_LNC003141)". The record is from RNAcentral. Lineage: Eukaryota; Viridiplantae; Chlorophyta; Chlorophyceae; Chlamydomonadales; Volvocaceae.
UCAGAUGUUGCAAUUGUUUGUUUUGCUCUGCCUAGACAUUCUUGUGAAAGUAUAACUGCAGUCUUGACGUCUUAGCCGAUUAUUCUCCUGGUUCAAUCUCAAGGUCAGCUGCCGCUCCAUUACGUGCACAUCACCAUCGCAAAAAGCUUCCAUAGGUUUACCACCCUAUUUCCAUACUUCAUGAUAGAUCUAUCAUGGUUCUAGCUUGCAUGGUUCAAAUGCGCUGAGCUUACAAUCUGUACUGUGCGUCCGUGUCGCUGCCUUCUGUACUGCUGUCAUUCAGGACAAUGGCUGUGACUUGCUUUCCCUGGUUUAAGAGAACUGGAAAAUUACCAAAAGCGUUUCGGGAUGCACCCAAUUCUGAGGACGCUGAUUCUCCGCGGGUGCAAGCAUCUCGCAAGGCUCUAUUUGAACAAGUCCCUGCUGCCUCGCCGCCGGGUCAACACACGGCGCAAGGCGCGAGUAAUGGCUAUCGAACAUCAGCCUCCAUAAGUGACGGGAAAUUAGCGGUCACUGUGCGUAGCCAGCGUCAGC